RNAcentral lists this small nuclear RNA (107 nucleotides) under Prolemur simus (greater bamboo lemur). Lineage: Eukaryota; Metazoa; Chordata; Mammalia; Primates; Lemuridae. The record is from RNAcentral.
GUGUUCAUUUCGGCAGCACAUAUACCAAAAUUGGAAUGAUACAGAGAAGAGUAGCAUGGUCCCUGUGCAGGAAUGACACACAAAUUCAUGAAGCUUUCCAUAUUUUU